CCAACAUGGCCGUUCGUCUCUUAUGUUGUGUUUGCGUACUCUAUUUAAUCAUUAUCACGACGACCUGUUUGGCCGUUACUCUUCAUGAAUAUCUACCACUUUCGGAACUAGGUGAAGGUUCCAGAGAGAGUUAUAUACAAAAAUACUUCAAUCUUGGCUUUCCUUAUGAAGAAAUUUUGGUGUUUCUUUCGAAGUUUCACGGAAUUAUACUCAGUCUUCGCCAGUUGAAACGACUACUCAAGACAAUGGGGUUGCGACGCCGAAAGGUAUGCAGUUCAGUGUACGAAGUUGUGUCUGAGGUAGAAAGGGAGUUACGUGGAAGUGGUAGUUCAAUCGGGUACAGAGCAAUGCACAAGAGAUUGACGGUGGAUUACAAUCUAGUUACAGACAGGGAAACAGUCCGUCAGGUCCUAAAAAUUGUAGAUCCUGCAGGGGUUCAAAGGCGUUCGAAACACCGAUUAAAGAGACGAUCGUACAAAAUGAAAGGACCCAAUUAUAUUUGGCACGUAGAUGGCUAUGAUAAACUCAAGCCAUUUGGCUUUUGUAUACACGGUGCCCUGGAUGGCUACAUGUGGUUAGAGGUUGGCCCUUCCAACAACGAUCCAAAGGUAGUAGGACAAUAUUAUAUAGACUAUAUUCGUCAAAUUGGUGGAGCUCCCCGCAUAGUCCGUGCAGACUGUGGAACUGAAAAUGUGCACAUUGCCGCAAUGCAACGAUUCCUCAGGUCUUCAGCUGAUGAUGACUUUGCAGGGGACAAAAGUUUUAUGUACGGAAAGUCAACAUCCAAUCAAAGAAUCGAAGCGUGGUGGUCUCAGUUACGAAGAAGUGGUUCUGACUGGUGGAUAAAAUAUUUCAAGGAUCUCAGAGAUUCAGGGAUUUACCGUGAUGGGCAAAUUAUGGACGAGCAGUGCCUAAAGUUCUGCUAUAAUAACAUCAUCAAAAAUGAACUAUAUAAAGUUGCCAGACACUGGAAUAUUCAUUGCAUAAGACCUAGCACCAACGCAGAGUCCCCCUCCGGUCGACCAGAUACCUUGUAUUUUCUUCCCGAGGUAAAUGAAACCGGCGAUUACAAAACGGGAGCAAGUGUUGCAGACAUAGACGUUGCAGAAGAAAUGUGCUGUAUGCAAAAUCCGCCAAACGGCUGCGAACCCGAGUUCAACGAAUUAGCUGCAAUUAUAAUGAGAGAAAAUCGCCUACAAAUGCCGACAACAGUAGAUGAGGCAGAGCAGUUGUAUGUGGAGUUAUUACAUCAAAUUGAAAGCACGUGACAUUAAAAAGAAUUAAAUAGUUACCCAGUGUUGCCCAGCCAAAUAAUUAUCUACUCGAUGAUUAAGCCUAGUUUCCAUUUGGUCGUUAGUUGUCGCUGGCACGACAAGCGGUAGAUGUGAAAUAGCCUAAUAUAAUAAUAGUAUAUUUUGUGUGUUAUAUGCAAAUCGGUCUUAAUGAUUGCAGAGUUUUAUAAAGUUUUGUUGACACUCUAUUACAUCAGCCACUUGUCGUGCCAGCGACAACUAACGACCAAAUGGAAACUAGGCUUUAAAGUUGAGCUGCAUGCGCAGUUAAUGCUA
Molecule: non-coding RNA, 1568 nt
Organism: Paramuricea clavata
Lineage: Eukaryota; Metazoa; Cnidaria; Anthozoa; Malacalcyonacea; Plexauridae
Source: the annotation of a GenBank genome assembly